RNAcentral lists this ribosomal RNA (492 nucleotides) under uncultured bacterium. RNAcentral's name for it is "partial 16S ribosomal RNA". It matches the Rfam family "Bacterial small subunit ribosomal RNA", at positions 29 to 507 of the family's 1533-position model. The record is from RNAcentral.
AGUGAACGCUGGCGGUAGGCCUAACACAUGCAAGUCGAACGGCAGCACAGUAAGAGCUUGCUCUUACGGGUGGCGAGUGGCGGACGGGUGAGGAAUACAUCGGAAUCUACUUUUUCGUGGGGGAUAACGUAGGGAAACUUACGCUAAUACCGCAUGCGACCUACGGGUGAAAGCAGGGGAUCUUCGGACCUUGCGCGAUUGAAUGAGACGAUGUCGGAUUAGCUAGUUGGCGGGGUAAAGGCCCACCAAGGCGACGAUCCGUAGCUGGUCUGAGAGGAUGAUCAGCCACACUGGAACUGAGACACGGUCCAGACUCCUACGGGAGGCAGCAGUGGGGAAUAUUGGACAAUGGGCGAAAGCCUGACCCAGCCAUACCGCGUGAGUGAAGAAGGCCUUCGGGUUGUAAAGCCCUUUUGUUGGGAAAGAAAAGCAGCAGGUUAAUACCCCGCUGUUCUGACGGUACCCAAAGAAUAAGCACCGGCUAACUUCGUG